CGCACAGUGCGCAGGCGCGAGUUGUGACGAGGGAUUAAGCCAAGGCGCCAUAUUUCGAGGGAUUUUAUUGUUUUUCUUUUCUCGUCUUGAGAAAUAAUCUGUAGCUUUAUUUGGUGAAUUUAUAUCAACCCAGGAGUGCUAAUUCGUUCGUUAAAUCGCCAGACGGUCACUGCAAGUUCUCAACGUUAUCAGCGUAACUUCUCGUUAAAUAUGUCUGGUGUAAUUCGAGGCCCUGCAGGGAACAACGACUGUCGGAUUUACGUGGGUAAUUUACCCCCUGAUAUUCGCACCAAGGACGUGGAGGAUGUGUUUUACAAAUACGGAGCCAUUCGGGAUAUCGACCUGAAAAACAGAAGAGGAGGUCCGCCGUUUGCAUUCGUGGAGUUCGAGGAUCCGAGAGAUGCAGAGGAUGCUGUAUAUGGACGAGAUGGCUAUGACUAUGAUGGCUAUCGUCUUCGAGUGGAGUUCCCAAGAAGUGGCAGGGGAGGUGGAAGAGGUGGAGGUGGUGGUGUUGGAGCUCCCAGAGGCAGAUAUGGCCCCCCAUCCAGACGCUCUGAAUACAGGGUCAUAGUGUCAGGACUUCCUCCUAGUGGCAGCUGGCAGGACCUUAAGGAUCACAUGCGUGAAGCAGGUGAUGUAUGUUAUGCUGACGUUUUCCGAGAUGGCACCGGCGUUGUGGAGUUUGUGCGCAAAGAAGACAUGACCUACGCCGUUCGAAAGCUGGAUAACACUAAGUUCCGGUCACAUGAGGGGGAGACGGCGUACAUCCGUGUAAAAGUGGAUGGCCCGCGCAGCCCCAGUUAUGGGCGCUCGCACUCUCGCAGCAGGAGUCGCAGCCGGAGCAACAGCCGCAGUCGCAGCUACUCUCCACGCCGCAGCCGAGGAUCUCCACGUUACUCGCCCCGCCACAGCCGCUCCCGUUCCCGCACCUAAACAUCCACAUCACAGCUAGUUGGCUGGCCACACUCAUACACCCUGUGUCGCCCUCUGUUAGACCCACUGUUAUACUUCAUUGCUCUCUUGACUUGUUUUGUCUCUCCACUUUACCCAGUUUGCAUUAUCUCAUCUUUGGUUUGUCACAGAAUAUCCAAACAUUACAUUUUUAUUUGGUUGUCAUUUCGCUAAUGGCAGUCAAGUGUAAUUAAGUGGAUGUUUUCCGUUCUCUCUCUUCCUUCCCUGUCAGUCCUUUUUUUGUUCUCUUCUAUCCCAUGACCCUAUUUUGUGUGUUUGUCUUGCAUUCACAUUUUAACUGGAUCUUUAUACUCAUCCCUUGUAUACUAUAUUUGAGACAAUAAGGGGACAUGUUGAAAUGCUUUAAGUAUUUGUAUGUUUAAUUUGCUACUGUUUUAUUGUUAAUAAUGCUUCAAUUUUGGCUUUUUUUGGGGUGGAAAGUUUUUUAUUUUGUUGGACAACUGUUCUACUUUUACCUUUUCAUGUCUUUCUAUAGACAACAGAAGAGCAGGAUUAAAGAAAGCAUUGGAAUAAAGGAUUUUGAAGCACAAUUCAUUCAAAUUAGGAUAAAGCGUUUUUGGAGGAGGAGGAGCAGGCAUUUCAUUUAAGGAAGCAAUGGUUUGGAUUGGAGGAGGGGCUCACUGUGUCCCGAUCCUUGGAGCCGAAUCAUUGGAUCAGUUCAGGAUCAGGAGCAGGAUUAGGAUUAGGAUAAGGAUGGAUACAUACAUGGAGCGGGAUCAAUUAACCGGGAGCGGGAACCAUAGGAGAGGAUCCCAACCCCAGCCCCACAUCCCCCCACCAAACCACAAUUAAAGGAGUUAAACGCAGAAAAGGAUACUUGACGUCUUAAUUGGCUUCUUUAAAACCAAAUUAUUUUUUUCGUGAAUCGCCAAUGAUGCGCGCAGAAAGGAUCCAUGUGCUUCUUUUGUUUUGUGAGAUGAGUUUUUUUGGUUUAAAAAGGAGCAGAGCAAGGAACCAGAAGUCUGGAUCAGUUGCUUUGGAUGGAAUCCACAUGAAGAGCGUGGUAAAUAGAGGGUAAUUAUAGUGGGAGGGUGGGCUAAUAGGGACAUUUUGAGGGGAUAUUGUAGUUUAUUUAGGGUUUCAAAAACACAAAUUACUUAUACAUUUGUUGGCAUUUCCUGUGUUGGCAGUGGUGUUUCUUUUCCCCACAAUUGGCUACUCUAUAUUCUUAGUUUGUAGUGUGUCCUUUUCUCUCUUAAACCCUUCUUUAAAUAAAGACUGAAUGUCCAUUUA
This is an RNA transcript of Myxocyprinus asiaticus (Chinese sucker), 2205 nucleotides long. It is a transcript of the gene named serine/arginine-rich splicing factor 1B, with no coding region annotated. Lineage: Eukaryota; Metazoa; Chordata; Actinopteri; Cypriniformes; Catostomidae. The record is from RefSeq and is a predicted model, not a curated record. The transcript is spliced from 5 exons.